UGGGGAAUAUUGCACAAUGGGCGCAAGCCUGAUGCAGCCAUGCCGCGUGUGUGAAGAAGGCCUUCGGGUUGUAAAGCACUUUCAGCGGGGAGGAAGGCGUUAAGGUUAAUAACCUUGGCGAUUGACGUUACCCGCAGAAGAAGUACCGGCUAACUCCGUGCCAGCAGCCGCGGUAAUACGGAGGGUGCAAGCGUUAAUCGGAAUUACUGGGCGUAAAGCGCACGCAGGCGGUCUGUCAAGUCGGAUGUGAAAUCCCCGGGCUCAACCUGGGAACUGCAUUCGAAACUGGCAGGCUAGAGUCUUGUAGAGGGGGGUAGAAUUCCAGGUGUAGCGGUGAAAUGCGUAGAGAUCUGGAGGAAUACCGGUGGCGAAGGCGGCCCCCUGGACAAAGACUGACGCUCAGGUGCGAAAGCGUGGGGAGCAAACAGG
Molecule: ribosomal RNA, 429 nt
Filed under: Chloroflexota bacterium
Lineage: Bacteria; Bacillati; Chloroflexota
Description: Chloroflexi bacterium partial 16S ribosomal RNA
Rfam family: Bacterial small subunit ribosomal RNA
Source: RNAcentral